Non-coding RNA from Aegilops tauschii subsp. strangulata, 4522 nucleotides. The record is from RefSeq and is a predicted model, not a curated record. Lineage: Eukaryota; Viridiplantae; Streptophyta; Magnoliopsida; Poales; Poaceae.
CACCUCUCCUCCCUUCCUUCCUCCCGCCCGCUGCCUCCCUCUCUCUGUCCCCGAUCUAGAUCGGCCUCUCCCUCACCCCUCGCAUCGCGCCCUCCUUCCCUCGCGCUGGCACCGGCGGCGCCCUCCUUCCUUUCUGUCACCGGCGGCGCCCCCCUUCCCUCGCGCUGCACCAGAACCUCGCUCCCGCUCCCAGCUCUUCUUCCUCCUCCGCUGCAGCUAGGGUUUCGUCUCCCCGAUCCCCAAUCCCCGAAGCUCGGAUCCAGCAGCAGCAUCAGCGAUGGCGGCCGCGGGAGAUCCUCUCCAAGGUCAAGCACGUCCAGGCCAAGCCUGCUGGCCGCCCUCGCGAGUGACUGCCUCCGCAGUGACGAGGGCGGCCUCGUUGUCCCCGGAGGCCGCGGCGCCCCUCAGGGCCGACCUCCGCCACAUGAGUGAUCCGUCGAUCUCGUCUCUCCAACAGUGUUCCGGAUGCACGCACGAGUUUGACCUGGACAAGCCGCCGGUGCUGCAGGAGGUGGCGGAUUUCUUCAGUGGCCAUGGAAUCGAGGACUUCACCUUCAGCAGGGGUAGGCUGUGAGAAUGGCGUUGCCGGGCAAAGCUAGCGGUACGCGGAACCCCAGAGAAACCACUGAUUGGCCUGUAUCAGGAAGGGAUACAUACUGUUCAAGAUAUUCCCGGUUGCAGAGGUAGGACAGGAGGAACAGCGACAAGAGACGGGAUGAAGCCCGGCCAAGGAAACCCACCGCAGCCUUCAAGACCUUGACGGCAGUCGGUGCUAUGGGGAUCCUGAUCAACAUGCAGUUCCCGGGGCCGCAGAUCGACGCCGUCACCAACGACAACAUCGUCAUCAACGUCUUCAACAACCUGAUCUGAUAUUGUUCUGAGAUCCAGUGGCAUCUCUAUCCUCUUACAACUAAUAACAUUUUUUAACCUCUUUUGGCCGCACUUUCGCUUUCACUACAAAUCAGAUCAGUGGUGAACGAAAGAAACAAGUGCACAACUAGUAUCAGUGGGCUUGUAUUUUUCUUGUGUAGCUGCUCUGCACUUGUUGUAGAGCAUAGCUUGCAUCAGUAUUUUUACCUAUUUUUGACCUCUCAUUCUGAAAUACAUCUAGCAGGUGCGGCUAGUACUCUAUUAUUCUCCUACAUAUAGCUCUAUAUAUGCAUCUAAAAGGGCAAGUACUUGGAUGACCUUGACAACAUCAUACUGAUUGUAAUAACUUUGCAUAAGACUCUGUAUUCGAAGACUUCUCGCAAUUUAUCAUGCAAUUCUAAACAAUAGCAUACGUCUAUCUACCCUGCUGGGAAUUUUCACUUUAUAUAAAAAUUUGAGAGGCAAAUGCUGGGAGUUCCAGUCUUGUCUGAUGGCUAGGAACUCAACUCUGCUUCUUGUUGUUGGAGUUUCAGGCUUGUUGCAUAGUUCGUAGGUUCAAGUGUACUCUGGCUUCCAGCCAUAGUGCACUACAAAUUAUUAUAGAAUUACAAAGUGUACACAACAUUGCACCUUACACAUUCUUCUCUUGUGAAAUCAAAUGCCAUGACUGGGCAUUCUUUUAUCAACUUGCUGUACACUUGCUCUGCUUUAGGCUACUGUAUAACUUGUGCCUUUUAACUUGAUGUACAUAGCAUGCAAUUUUUUACUGUAUAUCACAUUCACACAUGAUACUCUUAAUAUAGAGUUGUUUUCCGAGCUAGUUCUGUUUACUCUUAAUAUAGGUCUAUUUGUCACCAAUACUUGCCUGCUAUGCUAUAGUAGACCUUGUUCAUAUUUAUUAGCUAAGUUUGCUUGUCCUUGGUAUCUAUAUGCAUGCCAUUUGUGUUUCAGGCUUUCUCUGAAAUGAAAUAAUAGGUCUAUUAGUCACCAAUACUUGAGUGAAUCUAACUCCUUACCUGCUAUGCUAUAGUAGGCCUUGUUCAUAUUUAUUAGCGAAGUUUGCUUGUCCACAGUGAUCCAUAUACAUGCCAUUUGUUUUUAACGCUCUGAAAUGAAAUAAUAAGAUUCACACUCCAUGGACCAGGAACGACCACCGGGACCUCCACGGUGAUGAUGAAGCCUGCACAUGGUCGAGCUCGAUGGAACAACAGUGCCUCAGUGUGGUGCAGCCGAGUUGGGCCACUCCAGUGCAUCAGGAACUCUGCAUGCUGCUGUCCUUUGUCUCAUCAUCUUAACUACUACAGUAGUAGGAGUAUUUUAUAUGCUGUUCUUUUCUUGGCCACCCAGCAUGUUUGCUAAUCAUCCAUCUGCCUCAUGUUAUAUGAUCCCUACCUAGUAACUUCAUUGUAUGCAGACUUGUGGUGUUGGUUCAGUUUAGUCAAAUUAAUAUAUAUACUGCUAUGCUACUACUACUACUACUACUACUACUGUCUGCAUUUAAUCCUGAUUAGUAGCUUCAUCAAUAAGUGGCAAACAAAACAAUGUCGAUUUUCAUCUUAUCUCUAUGACAACCAAUGGAGUUGAAUUGCAGCAUCCAUGUCAAAGCUGGGUUCAAUUCUUGGGCAAUAUAUGGUAGUUUCCACUCUUCACGCCCAAGAUUAGUAUGCUGCAGCUCUCCCUCCUCACUCCAUACAUCCAGGUACUAGUUACCCAACGAGCAGCCCUGCACCUCGCUGGAUCUCGCGCAAACCCCGCUCAUCUUGCUGCUUGUGCCAGGGAAUACUCUCUGUUGAGUAUUUUGAGGAAUGAAUAUCUGUUAAGUAUGGAGUUAGGAUUAUCUAAUAAAAUUUCUGCUAUAUAUAUAUGCAUGAAACUGAGAUUGCUAGCAUCAUUUACACAAGAUACACCCUUUGAAUUGAAUUGAUUGGUUUAGUUUCAUAUAUUCUUCACCCAACCUUCUAUCAUGCUUGUAACUAGUGCUCUUCUCAAGUUGUUAGACAGGAUUUUCACUUCCUGCCAUCCCAACCUUCUAUCAUGCUUACAAGAUUUUUCUUUGCACGAUAGUAGCACCAGUACCUUGCUGCUGUUGGGAACGGAAGGGAGCUGUUCCAUGCACUGAAUCUGGGGAGAAAAUCACCUUCAGCAUGUACACCAUCACCUUGGGCAUGCUUGUGGCGCGGCUGCUCGGCCUCAACAUGUCCUGGAGUGCCAUUAGCGCCGCCCUCACGCUCAUCUUCCUCGACUUCAAGGACGCUCGCCCCUGCCUCGAGAAGCUAAAAAGAGUGGAAUUCUCAGCCGACUAUACAAAAAUGGGGAAUAUCUGAUCUUGAUGUGGAUAAUAAAGUUUGCAUUAAUGUGCACUCCUCACAACAGUACAGAUAAUCAAGUCUCCCUCAGUGUGCACUCAUCACUCAUCGUAGCAGAAAUGAUCAAAUUAGCAAGGAGAUAAACUGUGUGCAAGAUCGACAGUAUAUUAUCAGUCAAAGUUAUGGUUCAGAUGCAAGGUUUGAUUCUGCCAUGAGAUGAUUAUGAAACAUGAUAUACCUGGAAGAAAGCGAGAAUGUGCCAUGUAUUCAAUACUCAGAAAGGAGGAUAGUCCAGCAAACCCCGUUUCAUGCAAGUAAUCAACAACAAAAAUAUUAAGAUGGUAUAUGUAUGUGGUAAUCGGUCUGCAUAUCACAAUGAGAAGCUUCCGGUGUAAGCAACCCAGUCUUCCCUCGCAAGCUACCAGAGAAGCUUCCAAGGCAAGAUUCAUCUAUCUUCCUCAGUACGAUACCUGGAUGACUUCCCGUGCAAAAUACUCAGGCUUCUUCAGUAAGCAACCACAAAAGCUUCCGGCAUAAGGUACCGAGUCCUUCCCCAGCAAGUCUUUAAGGGGGGAAGCUUCUGAAGCAGGAUACGCAGUCUUCCUCAGCAAGAUACUCUCGAUGGUUUCCAGCAAAAGCCAUCCAAUCCUCCUCAGUACGGCAUUGGUGUAAAAGAUUACAGUGUGAACUGACAGCUUAUGGCAGUGCAUCCCAAUAAUCAGAUCCGCAACAGUUUGGUCGGAAGCAAGAAUCAGUCAUAACAUAAGUCAGCCUCAGAAAUCAGAUUCUCACAUAUAUAUGCGGUCAGCAUAUCACCAGGGUAUUGCAAGUCACUCGAACGCAGAUCUAACAACCAUGUGAGGAUUGUUAAGAUAAGAAAGCCAAUAUACACCGCAGUGUGACAAAGGAUUAUGAAGAUUGACGACAUCAGCGAGCUCAGUACAAGUACCUGUGAACUUGGAAUAUGAUCCUGAUGAGACCUUGUCUUCUUUCUCCAGUAACGACACCAUGCCUGUGAUCUGAGCUCUUUUUGGCCCUUCGGGGUGGAUGCCGAUUUUAUUUUCUCUAUUCAACAACUGUCACGAGUUCUAAGCUGCUUUCCGGCCGUCUCUUAUAGCUGUUGAGUUUCUUUUUGUGAUAGUGGCCCUUUGCUUUGAGCAGUUUUUUGGCCGUCUUAGGGAACCGCCACUUUCUUUUUAUCAACACGGUCUCAUGCUCUGAGCUGAUUUUCGGCCAUCUUGAGCCGUGGUUGAGUUAUUUCAGUAAUGUCCCAGAUCUGAGUUGUAACGACCGUUCUAGUGGCUACUAAUUUAUUUGCUGAUUUCUUGCAAGGGUUCGGAUGAUCA